GACGAACGCUGGCGGCGUGCUUAACACAUGCAAGUCGAGCGGUAAGGCCCAGCUUGCUGGGUACACGAGCGGCGAACGGGUGAGUAACACGUGGGUGACCUGCCCCGCACUUCGGGAUAAGCCUGGGAAACUGGGUCUAAUACCGGAUGUUCACAUGGUCUCGCAUGGGAUGGUGUGGAAAGUUUUUUCGGUGUGGGAUGGGCCCGCGGCCUAUCAGCUUGUUGGUGGGUGAUGGCCUACCAAGGCGG
This 248-nucleotide ribosomal RNA is filed under the name uncultured Actinomycetes bacterium. Its description in RNAcentral is "uncultured actinobacterium partial 16S ribosomal RNA". It matches the Rfam family "Bacterial small subunit ribosomal RNA", at positions 28 to 276 of the family's 1533-position model. The record is from RNAcentral. Lineage: Bacteria; Bacillati; Actinomycetota; Actinomycetes.